This 24-nucleotide ribosomal RNA is filed under the name Opuntia robusta (nopal tapon). Its description in RNAcentral is "partial 18S ribosomal RNA". The record is from RNAcentral. Lineage: Eukaryota; Viridiplantae; Streptophyta; Magnoliopsida; Caryophyllales; Cactaceae.
GGGGUACCUGCGGAAGGAUCAUUG